UUUGCGACUAAAUUUGGACCAA
RNAcentral lists this microRNA (22 nucleotides) under Strongyloides ratti. RNAcentral describes it as "str-miR-7880g-3p". Lineage: Eukaryota; Metazoa; Nematoda; Chromadorea; Rhabditida; Strongyloididae. The record is from miRBase by way of RNAcentral.